UCGCCUGCGUGAAGUUGGAAUUGCUAGUAAUCGCGGAUCAGCAUGCCGCGGUGAAUACGUUCCCGGGCCUUGUACACACCGCCCGUCACACCAUGGGAGCCGGUAAUACCCGAAGUCAGUAGCUUAACCGCAAGGGGAGCGCUGCCGAAGGUAGGAUUGGCGACUGGGGUGAAGUCGUAACAAGGUACC
Molecule: ribosomal RNA, 189 nt
Filed under: uncultured bacterium
Lineage: Bacteria
Description: partial 16S ribosomal RNA
Rfam family: Bacterial small subunit ribosomal RNA
Source: RNAcentral